UUUAAGUUUACUGUUGGAAUCUGAAGCCCGGAAGCUUAAUAUUAUUACGGAUCCAAUUCAGAGAGGUUUGCAGCAGCUUGGAAUUAAACAAGAUUCUGAGUAUAAUAUUCACCUUCCACCACCAGUUGGAACAGGUCAACCUGUUGAAGUACAGAUAUCAAUAUCAUUACGGAAUAUACUAGAUAUUGAUGAAGUAAGGCAGUUGAUAACUGUCGAAACAACUCUACGAUUGUACUGGAAAGAUAGCAGGCUUAAAGUGGAACAUCUCCUUCAGGACAUCAUUUUUGAAUUUUUACAAAUUGUAAUUUGUUUUAACUAAUUCGUUAAAGCAACGGAAUCAAUUAUUUUGGCAUUCAGUUAUAGAUUGGGUUUCUCGAAAUAAGAAAAAUGUAAUUUAGGAUUUUAUAAACAAGAACAAAAAACAUUCUAAUAUCCAUUUAAAUAUAAACAAAGAAGAAAUCUUUUUAGGUCCGAUUGCAAUCACUGCAAAAAUCGAUGAGAAUUUUGCCAAUUACCUUUUAAAAAACAAAGCUAACAACAAGUGCUUUACGGUGCUAAAAUGUAAAUUUAAAGGACUACAGAAAAAGUAAAAGUAAGUUAGAGCGGUAAAUCUAACCCCAAGGCGUUGCGAGGCUUCAAAUUCGACCUUCUCUUUAAAAUAGAUAAGACUAUUUAUAGGCCAACUGAAUCAAUUUGAAUUACUAACUAGCUCGGACACCUUUGGCUGUAAUGCUUCAGAUUUGUAUUGGAAUACGCUUAUAAUCCAUGCAAAGCUGGGUUCUAAAGCCAAUCAUAAAAAUUGUCAUAUACCUAAUUUCUAUAAUUCAGGUGUUUGUUGUCCGGGUUGUUCAUUGCUUUUAUUACCGAAAUAAAUAAUUAUCGAUUUUUUAUUUUUCUACUUUGGUAUCGAAAAGAUUGGUUCGUCUUUCAGAAAAUUGAAAAUGACCCUAUGAUUAUUGUAAACAAAAUAAAUGGAAAAUGGUUUAUUUAAGGUUCAGGAGAAUGGAAUAUUUGGAAGAAUUGUAUUUCUAAUGUAUUAUAUGAUUAUAUUA
Eurytemora carolleeae is the source of this 1052-nucleotide long non-coding RNA. RefSeq lists it as uncharacterized. The record is from RefSeq and is a predicted model, not a curated record. The transcript has 5 exons. Lineage: Eukaryota; Metazoa; Arthropoda; Copepoda; Calanoida; Temoridae.